RNAcentral lists this ribosomal RNA (595 nucleotides) under uncultured bacterium. RNAcentral describes it as "bacterial SSU rRNA". It matches the Rfam family "Bacterial small subunit ribosomal RNA", at positions 112 to 704 of the family's 1533-position model. The record is from RNAcentral.
AAUGCCUAGGAAUCUGCCUGGUAGUGGGGGAUAACGUUCGGAAACGGACGCUAUACCGCAUACGUCCUACGGGAGAAAGCAGGGGACCUUCGGGCCUUGCGCUAUCAGAUGAGCCUAGGUCGGAUUAGCUAGUUGGUGAGGUAAUGGCUCACCAAGGCGACGAUCCGUAACUGGUCUGAGAGGAUGAUCAGUCACACUGGAACUGAGACACGGUCCAGACUCCUACGGGAGGCAGCAGUGGGGAAUAUUGGACAAUGGGCGAAAGCCUGAUCCAGCCAUGCCGCGUGUGUGAAGAAGGUCUUCGGAUUGUAAAGCACUUUAAGUUGGGAGGAAGGGUUGUAGAUUAAUACUCUGCAAUUUUGACGUUACCGACAGAAUAAGCACCGGCUAACUCUGUGCCAGCAGCCGCGGUAAUACAGAGGGUGCAAGCGUUAAUCGGAAUUACUGGGCGUAAAGCGCGCGUAGGUGGUUUGUUAAGUUGGAUGUGAAAUCCCCGGGCUCAACCUGGGAACUGCAUUCAAAACUGACUGACUAGAGUAUGGUAGAGGGUGGUGGAAUUUCCUGUGUAGCGGUGAAAUGCGUAGAUAUAGGAAGG